AAAGAUAGGGCCAGAAUAAGGAGCCUAAACCAGAGCUGCAGCUGGAGACAAGAGACCAUCUCUAAAGAGACAGGAGCAAGAUAAAAGGCGCAUUAAAGGAAAAACAGAAGAGGAGAGAACAAAGUCACGGGUCCCUAAGAAAAGUCAUCAUAGUGAAUCGUCAUUAAGAAAGAAUCUCGGGAGCUACACCAAAGCAGAGAAAAGGAGAAAACCAAGGCUGUUGAAGCUCCAAAGCUGAAGGCUGUUUCAGGAGCAACUGCAGUUUGGAUGAUGUCUCUGAACUGUGUGGAUGGCAACGCUCACACCAGAGCAUCACUGUCUGCAUCCUUCAUACGCCCACCCCCUCCACAGCCCUCAUCCUCACCCAGGGGCUCGUGAGUGUUGCGUGUGGUGCCAAGAAGGGGCCAGAGAGGCCGUAGCAGCAAGAGGCAAAAAUGAAAGGAUGUGUUCGAUGGGACUGUGGAGGCCAGGGAAGGAGAGCUGGAGAUGAUCGCACCUCUGUCACCCCAAAGAAAUCCCAUCCAAAGUAGCUAGGGAGUUUCAGUUCUCUAUCUUGCAAUUAGUAAGGCCAGCAGGACCCUUGUAGGGAACACUCAAACCAUAUACUUUCUGUUAGACAUAAAGACAUUAUGCAUUAGCAUAGCAUUAGACAUCUAACAUAAUUACUCAGAAUUGCCCCGUCCCCUGGAAGUAUCUGCGUGUAUCUCUGUUAACUGUGUAAAGAACUUAAUUUUGAUCCUCUGAAUCAUACCUAAAUGAGAUGUCCAAAUUUGGUGGUGUGAAUAACCCCCUAGGAGUAAUAAAUAAAACCCUGCAUAGCUCAGGAUUGCCAGGAGGUGUGUUUUGGUAGUAGUAAUGUUUACUGUUUCCAACUCAAUAAACAUUACUUUUAGAUUCAA
Molecule: long non-coding RNA, 899 nt
Organism: Dromaius novaehollandiae (emu)
Lineage: Eukaryota; Metazoa; Chordata; Aves; Casuariiformes; Dromaiidae
Exons: 3
Source: RefSeq, a predicted model, not a curated record